This 646-nucleotide ribosomal RNA is filed under the name uncultured bacterium. RNAcentral's name for it is "bacterial SSU rRNA". It matches the Rfam family "Bacterial small subunit ribosomal RNA", at positions 55 to 681 of the family's 1533-position model. The record is from RNAcentral.
AUGCAGUCGAGCGAGAAAGCGGCUUCGGCCGUGAGUACAGCGGCGAACGGGUGAGUAACACGUGGAUAACCUAUCUGGGAGUGGGGGAUAACUCGGGGAAACUUGAGCUAAUACCGCAUUCGCUUUCCGGAUCGCGGUCCGGAUCGGAAAGGUGGCCUCUUCUCGAAAGCUACCGCCCCCAGAGGGGUCCGCGCCUGAUUAGCUUGUUGGUGAGGUAAUGGCUCACCAAGGCGACGAUCAGUAGCCGGCCUGAGAGGGUGAUCGGCCACACUGGAACUGAGACACGGUCCAGACUCCUACGGGAGGCAGCAGUGGGGAAUAUUGCGCAAUGGGGGAAACCCUGACGCAGCAACGCCGCGUGGAGGAUGAAGGCUCUCGGGUCGUAAACUCCUGUCAGGUGGGAAGAAAAGGUUUCGGUUAAUACCCGGAGCUGUUGACGGUACCACCAGAGGAAGGUCCGGCUAACUCCGUGCCAGCAGCCGCGGUAAUACGGAGGGACCGAACGUUAUUCGGAAUCAUUGGGCGUAAAGGGCGCGUAGGCGGCUUAGAAAGUCAAAGGUGAAAUCCCUCGGCCCAACCGAGGAACUGCCUUUGAAACUGCUUGGCUUGAGGCCGGGAGAGGGUAGCGGAAUUCCCAGUGUAGCGG